Molecule: long non-coding RNA, 1632 nt
Organism: Asparagus officinalis (garden asparagus)
Lineage: Eukaryota; Viridiplantae; Streptophyta; Magnoliopsida; Asparagales; Asparagaceae
Exons: 2
Source: RefSeq, a predicted model, not a curated record
GCCUGAUUAUCCUUGAGUAGAUUGCGGCAUUAAAAAUACACAGUAUAUCUAACCACUUGGAAUAAAAAAAUAGCAAGCUAUAUCGUAUUAAGUUGUCGAAAUUCAAGAUUAAUUUGCUUUAGACUAAGUAGGGGUAAAACUUUGGGUUUGUUCGGAAAAAAUCUCUUUUGACAAGUGUGUGGACUUAAAAGUAAAUGAGGUAAAAGUUUGGGUUUACGGAUAAUAUUUUUUUAUUUUAGAAAAUCGCUAUUUUCCACUGUACAAAAGAAGCAUCUCCGUAAUUUUGCUCGCCCAAAGUUUUGGGAGGUUAUCUGAGAAUCAUCCAAGGGGUUUACUCCGAUAUCUCUGACGCCGGCGAAACCAAAACCACUGGCUCUCAUCGACGGCGUUUUCUGAUUUCUAGGGUUGCUGAAUUUAGGGUUUGAUGGAUGAGGGAUUCAGGUUGCAGGGCCACCGAGUUUUCUAAUCAACAAAUGCUGUGGGGUUUCUGGGAGAGCAGGAGAGGAGAAGUAAGAAUCGGAUCUUUCUGCUGGCCAUAAAGUUUCAAGCUUCGAGUACUUGCGAGGCCCGCCUUACCACAUGCACGAACCAUAUGCCGCAUUACUUGUGUCACAUAUUAAUUAUUCCAUUAUGUGGAACUCAUGUAAUGUGGCUCCUUUUAUUUAGAGCUUAUAAUUAUCUCAUUUGAAAAUAUGUACAAUAAUAGUAUACUAAUUAGUCUCGUGCAUAACACUAACUAGUGAUAAUAAUAUUGUUAACACAUGCAAAUUUAUAUUGCUAUAAUGUCAACUUCCAAAUGAGACGUUCACGUACAAGCUAUUGUUAUUUUUAAUCUUUUUUUAGUUCUAGAUAGUUUGAGAUCAUUAGCAAUAUAUUAUCCUAUGUAUAUCCCAAACUUAAUUUUAUCCCAAACUUAAUUUUAUCUUCCUCAAACGAAAAAGAGAUGGAGUACCGGAGUGCAGCACUGCGAGGAGGAUACCUCUUCAUGCAGAGGUAUCCCGGGGUUCUCCUAGCAAUACUUUCCGCUCUCCUUGUUUCCCUCCUCCUUCGCUGCACGGCUCAACGUGCCAGCAAGGUCUUUGUUAACUGGCCGGUGGCCGGUAUGCUCCCUAUGGUGAUCACUAGCAGCCAUCGCCUCCUCGACCACGUGGCUUCCAUGCCUCAGGAGUUUGAUAACACCCUCAUGUUCAGAGGCCCAUGGUUUUGCGGGAUGGACAUCCUGCUUACUUGCAGCCCUGAGAGUGCCAACCAAGUGUUCAACCUUCACUUCUCCAACUAUCCGAAGGGCGAUGAGUUUCACGAAAUAUUCUACGUUCUUGGGGACAGCAUCAUCAAUGCCGAUGGCGACUCUUGGAGGGAGCAGAGAAGAAUGGCUCGGACACAUAUGAACACACUGAGGUUCCGUGACUAUGUAGGCGACUGCACCGUGAACAAGUUGUCUCCGAAUCUUCUUCCCCUGUAGAAGGAAUGAAGGAUGUGCCUGAAUUCGAUAAGGUGGUGGAUCUAAGUGAUCUGUUUGUGAGAUUUACAUUUGAUACCACAAGCGCUCUUGUUAACUGGUCGAUCCAGGUUGUCUUGCUCCUGAUUUUUUCCUAUGGUUCCGUUUGCGACAGCUAAAUCGGGCAGGUACUC